GUACAGAUUAAUUGAAAUUAAGGAUAAUCAUCUCUUUCUACACCCUUCAAGCAAAAAGAGAGCAGCAAGCAAAUGCAGCAACCCAAGCUUGUUUCAAGGCCAGAACAGCAGUUGACUGGAUCGACAGGAACCCAAAAAGAGUUAAAAAGGAAAAUGCUGCUUAAUUUCCUUUGAAAUGUGAAGCCAAGUGAAGGAAAAUCCAACAGGUGUGAGGCCAGUAGUUCUGUUUUAUUUGCUUAAUUUUCCAUUUUCCUUUGCAAUUGUGAAGAUAAUUAGAUCCGUACAUCUUCUGGGCCUUGAUUUCUUUAAUUCUAACGAACCAUAAUCCUACUUCUGAACCAAACAAGUUUUCUCCUUGACGCUUAAUUUUCCUUUGCAAUUGAGAAGUUAAUUAAAGUUUCAUGUUAAUUUUGAACCCUAAUUUCAUUAAUUCUACCAAACCCUAACCCUAAUGUCAAACUAACCAAGUGUUCCCCUUGACAUCCCACAUCAAUAGUGCUCUAGGCAGUGUCUUUCAAUGCUUUUGAAUAUGUCUCACAGAUAUGAUAUACUGCUUUGAUUUUUAUAACGUGAAUUUUUGGAUGUCCAAUCCCAAAGCUCAUUUCAAGACAUGUCAACCAAAUUCAUUUAAAGUCCAUGUUCCAUCAAUUUUCCAUGAUUGCUUUUAAAAGAUGCCUAAUGCAUAUGUACCUACAAUUUGUUAGAUAUUGUUUUGUUGGAUUCUUCCAGCCUCAAAGCUAUCGCUCAAGGAUAAAGCAACAAUGUUGAUGGUUGAGCCAUUGUCCAAGCAUUCAUUAGCCCUCAGCACUCUUUCAACUUAUUAAAAGAAACAAAUAAGCAAAAAAAAUCUAAUUUUCCUUUAAACUCAUACAACUUUGAGAUUGGCAGAUGAAUUAAUACAAGCAUAAAAGGAGGCAGGUGCAUAUAGUUCCUUAUGAUAGAAUUGAAAUUUCAAGUAAAAGAACUAAAUAGUGUCAUAACCCAAGAAUUAUAGCAACUACAAGAAUUGAGUUUGGAAUAUGUGAAAAAGUCAUAAUCUAAAAUCAAUUUUGUAUUUAAUAUUUAAUGAAAAAGCUGAAGACCUAGUUAAUACCUUGUAACGAGAAGGCAAG
RNAcentral lists this unclassified non-coding RNA (1112 nucleotides) under Hevea brasiliensis (rubber tree). The record is from RNAcentral. Lineage: Eukaryota; Viridiplantae; Streptophyta; Magnoliopsida; Malpighiales; Euphorbiaceae.